Molecule: ribosomal RNA, 776 nt
Filed under: Planktothricoides raciborskii
Lineage: Bacteria; Bacillati; Cyanobacteriota; Cyanophyceae; Oscillatoriales; Oscillatoriaceae
Description: bacterial SSU rRNA
Rfam family: Bacterial small subunit ribosomal RNA
Source: RNAcentral
UAGAGAUUGAUCCUGGCUCAGGAUGAACGCUGGCGGUCUGCUUAACACAUGCAAGUCGAACGGAAUCCUUCGGGAUUUAGUGGCGGACGGGUGAGUAACACGUGAGAAUCUGCACUCAGGAUGGGGACAACAGCGGGAAACUGCUGCUAAUACCCAAUGUGCCGAAAGGUAAAAGAUUUAUCGCCUGAGAAUGAGCUCGCGGCCGAUUAGUUAGUUGGUGGGGUAAUGGCCUACCAAGACGGCGAUCGGUAGCUGGUCUGAGAGGAUGAGCAGCCACACUGGGACUGAGACACGGCCCAGACUCCUACGGGAGGCAGCAGUGGGGAAUUUUCCGCAAUGGGCGCAAGCCUGACGGAGCAAGACCGCGUGGGGGAGGAAGGCUCUUGGGUUGUAAACCCCUUUUCUCAGGGAAGAAGUUCUGACGGUACCUGAGGAAUCAGCCUCGGCUAACUCCGUGCCAGCAGCCGCGGUAAUACGGAGGAGGCAAGCGUUAUCCGGAAUUAUUGGGCGUAAAGCGUCCGUAGGUGGUGGGGCAAGUCGGCGGUUAAAGACUGGGGCUUAACUCCAGAAAGGCCGUGGAAACUGCACCACUAGAGGGCAGUAGGGGUAGAGGGAAUUCCCGGUGUAGCGGUGAAAUGCGUAGAGAUCGGGAAGAACACCAGUGGCGAAAGCGCUCUACUGGACUGCAACUGACACUCAGGGACGAAAGCUAGGGGAGCGAAUGGGAUUAGAUACCCCAGUAGUCCUAGCCGUAAACGAUGAUACUAGGGGUCCAU